CCUACGGUGGGCAGCAGUGGGGAAUAUUGGGCAAUGGAGGAAACUCUGACCCAGCAAUGCCGCGUGAAUGAAGAAGGUCUUCGGAUUGUAAAGUUCUUUAGUCAGGGAAGAAUAAAAUGACGGUACCUGAAGAAUAAGCUCCGGCUAACUACGUGCCAGCAGCCGCGGUAAUACGGAGGGUGCAAGCGUUACUCGGAAUCACUGGGCGUAAAGAGCGCGUAGGCGGGAUAGCAAGUCAGAUGUGAAAUCCUAUGGCUUAACCAUAGAACUGCAUUUGAAACUGUUAUUCUAGAGUAUGGGAGAGGUAGGUGGAAUUCUUGGUGUAGGGGUAAAAUCCGUAGAGAUCAAGAGGAAUACUCAUUGCGAAGGCGACCUGCUAGAACAUAACUGACGCUGAUGCGCGAAAGCGUGGGGAGCAAACAGGAUUAGAUACCCCAGUAGUC
This 443-nucleotide ribosomal RNA is filed under the name uncultured bacterium. RNAcentral's name for it is "partial 16S ribosomal RNA". It matches the Rfam family "Bacterial small subunit ribosomal RNA", at positions 338 to 795 of the family's 1533-position model. The record is from RNAcentral.